UGUCAUCCUGGAUGAUCUAGUGAGAUUUUGAAUGAAAUGCCACUGGAGGUCACUGGACAGAUACUAUUUGAAUGCAGAAAUCAGCAAUUAUCUUUUAACUAGGGAGAUGAAACCAGAAACUAUGUUCCAGUGAUGGUGACUGCCCUGACAAGACCUCCCGCUGGUCCAGACUGCCCAGACCCUUUGAGAGAAACUUGAUCCAAGCCUGCACAGAUGGGCCAUGGAGUGACCUCUGGAAUAACCUACAAUUACCUUUACUUCAUUAUAAUUCUAAAAUCUUUGCCCAAGGAGGACCACCAGCCUCAUUGACAAAACACACAAUCAAAGACGUUUUCAAGAAUUCUCUCAGUCAUCGGCUCCGGACCCCGCAGCCCCACCGUCACCCCAAAAACCUCAUCAUUAUGAAAAACAAUUACCAACAUAAGUACAGAUAUAGGUCAAAACAGAAAACAGAAACUCAAAA
Herpailurus yagouaroundi (jaguarundi) is the source of this 463-nucleotide long non-coding RNA. RefSeq lists it as uncharacterized. The transcript is spliced from 3 exons. Lineage: Eukaryota; Metazoa; Chordata; Mammalia; Carnivora; Felidae. The record is from RefSeq and is a predicted model, not a curated record.